ACGUAGGGUGCGAGCGUUAAUCGGAAUUACUGGGCGUAAAGCGUGCGCAGGCGGUUAUGUAAGACAGGUGUGAAAUCCCCGGGCUUAACCUGGGAACUGCGCUUGUGACUGCAUAACUUGAGUGUGGCAGAGGGGGGUGGAAUUCCACGUGUAGCAGUGAAAUGCGUAGAGAUGUGGAGGAACACCGAUGGCGAAGGCAGCCCCCUGGGUCAACACUGACGCUCAUGCACGAAAGCGUGGGGAGCAAACAGGAUUAGAUACCCUGGUAGUCCACGCCCUAAACGAUGCGAACUAGGUGUUGGGGAAGGAGACUUUCUUAGUACCGCAGCUAACGCGUGAAGUUCGCCGCCUGGGGAGUACGGUCGCAAGAUUA
Molecule: ribosomal RNA, 373 nt
Filed under: uncultured bacterium
Lineage: Bacteria
Description: bacterial SSU rRNA
Rfam family: Bacterial small subunit ribosomal RNA
Source: RNAcentral